Molecule: small nucleolar RNA, 88 nt
Organism: Anser brachyrhynchus (Pink-footed goose)
Lineage: Eukaryota; Metazoa; Chordata; Aves; Anseriformes; Anatidae
Source: Ensembl
GCUGGCGAUGAUGAUUCACUUGCCCUCACUGAGAUCCAACGCAGGGAUUGUUGCUGAGAACUUCCUCUGGACUCACUGUGGGCUGAGC